RNAcentral lists this ribosomal RNA (245 nucleotides) under uncultured bacterium. RNAcentral's name for it is "partial 16S ribosomal RNA". It matches the Rfam family "Bacterial small subunit ribosomal RNA", at positions 90 to 334 of the family's 1533-position model. The record is from RNAcentral.
ACUGAGCGGCGGACGGGUGAGUAACGCGUGGGUAACCUGCCUCGGUACAGGGGGAUAACAGUUGGAAACGGCUGCUAAUACCGCAUAAGCGCACAGUACCGCAUGGUACGGUGUGAAAAACUCCGGUGGUAUGAGAUGGACCCGCGUCUGAUUAGGUAGUUGGUGGGGUAACGGCCUACCAAGGCGACGAUCGGUAGCCGGACUGAGAGGUUGAACGGCCACAUUGGGACUGAGACACGGCCCAG